This 107-nucleotide small nuclear RNA is filed under the name Vulpes vulpes (red fox). Lineage: Eukaryota; Metazoa; Chordata; Mammalia; Carnivora; Canidae. The record is from RNAcentral.
GUGCUCACUUUGGCAGCACAUAUACUAAAACUGGAACGAUACAGAGAAGAUUAGCAUGGCCCCUGUGCAAGGAUGACAUGCAAAUUCGUGAAGCGUUCCAUAUUUAA